Molecule: long non-coding RNA, 521 nt
Organism: Anopheles gambiae (African malaria mosquito)
Lineage: Eukaryota; Metazoa; Arthropoda; Insecta; Diptera; Culicidae
Exons: 4
Source: RefSeq, a predicted model, not a curated record
GGGUAUUGUGUUUUUUGUUUGUCGUUUCAGAUCACCGUUUUGCUGUCGAUCAACGGAUACAUUUAUAGUUUUGCUUGCAGCAAAACAAAGUAACUUUUAUGUGCGACAUGUAACCACCAAUCCAUCUCAGAACCAUGUCCUGUCGACACUCUCACCAAGGACGGUUUUAUAUGAUGUAUGCGGCGUGCGGAGUGAGUGUCAAACGAUACUUCAUCUAAGCUGCUCAACGUUUUCUUCCUCUGCUGCGGUAUCGGAAUCGUAACAUCGUAAAUAUGGCCCCAGCGACCUAUUUCUAUUGUUGCGACAAGUGUCAGCACGCGUCGUACGAAUCAUCGGUGGUAUGCUGUCCGAAGAACAAAGCUGCCACAGCUGAACCCACAGCCCGAUUGCACGAUCAGCACAGUUACAGCAUAGCGUAAGGUUAACAGCAUAGCGUAAGGUACCUGGGGCUCGCGUUGAGCUAACAGCACGGCACCGUCAACGACACGAUCGGUCACCCAACGCCAUGCCCGUCGAAUGAU